This 76-nucleotide small RNA is filed under the name Xanthomonas sp. LMG 8992. RNAcentral describes it as "sX9 sRNA". It matches the Rfam family "Xanthomonas sRNA sX9". The record is from RNAcentral. Lineage: Bacteria; Pseudomonadati; Pseudomonadota; Gammaproteobacteria; Lysobacterales; Lysobacteraceae. RNAcentral also lists the same sequence under 1 other name.
AUGUACCACUCGUACACUGCGGUUCCUCCGCGCCGCCCGCACCUACCCGGCGGCUGCUCGCGACGUUCUGUCAGCC